GGCUCAGAGGUUAAAGCGUCUGCCUGGAAUGCAGGAGACCCGGGUUCGAUCCCUGG
Non-coding RNA from Bos taurus (domestic cattle), 56 nucleotides. The record is from Rfam. Lineage: Eukaryota; Metazoa; Chordata; Mammalia; Artiodactyla; Bovidae.